GUGAGCGUAGCUCAAUGGUUAGAGCACUGGACUGUGGCUCCAGCGGUUGUGGGUUCGAGUCCCAUCGCUCACCCCA
This 76-nucleotide transfer RNA is filed under the name bacterium. RNAcentral describes it as "tRNA-His". It matches the Rfam family "tRNA". Rfam says of the family: Transfer RNA (tRNA) molecules are approximately 80 nucleotides in length. RNAcentral also lists the same sequence under 3 other names. The record is from RNAcentral.